CCCUAGCCCUGAUCGCAACAGCAUCUCCCGAUUUAGAAAAACAAGGCUUUUUCAGCCGUAGUUUUUAUUAAUCGGGAAUAUAGUGAAGAGCAGGAAACAGC
RNAcentral lists this small RNA (101 nucleotides) under Flavobacterium glaciei. RNAcentral describes it as "Flavo-1 RNA". It matches the Rfam family "Flavo-1 RNA". The record is from RNAcentral. Lineage: Bacteria; Pseudomonadati; Bacteroidota; Flavobacteriia; Flavobacteriales; Flavobacteriaceae.